AAUAAUAGUAAUGUUCUUGAAACCCAAAGAAUUGGCGGUAUUUUAUUCUUUUUAGGAGGACCCUGUCCCUGUAAUUGAUAAUCCCACGAUAGGAAUUUACUAAUUUUGUUUCCAUUUUGUAUACCUCCGGUCAAUCAGAGUAUCCUUUUAGGGUUAAAUAUUCUUAAUAUAUAAAAUAUUGUAUGUCAGGUCCAAGGUGCAAUUAAUAGAUAAGUAGAGAUGGGUUACAAUAAAUUUAUUUAGACGGAUUAUUAUUUUUAAUGAUAGUAUAAAGGUGGAUUUAAAAGUAAAAUUAUUUUAUUUAUUGAUUUGAUGACAGCCCUAAAAUAUGCACACAUCGCCCGUCGCUCUUAUUUUAAAAUAAGAUAAGUCGUAACAUAGUAGGUGUACCGGAAGGUGUUCCUAGAAA
RNAcentral lists this ribosomal RNA (409 nucleotides) under Sympetrum obtrusum. RNAcentral describes it as "partial 12S ribosomal RNA". It matches the Rfam family "Microsporidia small subunit ribosomal RNA", at positions 758 to 1311 of the family's 1311-position model. The record is from RNAcentral. Lineage: Eukaryota; Metazoa; Arthropoda; Insecta; Odonata; Libellulidae.